Molecule: long non-coding RNA, 791 nt
Filed under: Androctonus crassicauda
Lineage: Eukaryota; Metazoa; Arthropoda; Arachnida; Scorpiones; Buthidae
Source: RNAcentral
CCGCUGAGGGUGCGACCAGUCCCGUAGAGCGAGGAACACAUAUUAUAGAUGAUCUACAAACGGCGAUUAAACAGAUCACAGAUCGAUUGAACGAAUUACAACCACCAUCAAAAAGGAGAAUGAGUUCGGGAAUACCGACAACUCCGCGACGAAAUGCAACAGUGCAAGGACAAAAUUACAAUCGGCUGUGUUAUGAGGAUAGAACAUCACAAAACAGGAUUCCAAAUAAUAGAAAUCCGCCUUCUUAUUCGCGUGCUAUAGAGAACAAUCGGCAGCAUAACACCUCGAGGUUACCACCACCUCCAAGGUUUAAUACAUUUAAUACACGGAUAAACAACGGUCGUGACCAAUAUCCUGGGUAUCCACCAUCACGUCCGUUGAAUAAUCAACGUUAUUUCGCUACUCGACAAAAUCUGCCGCAAAAUUCGCAAAAUAACAGUCGGAACCAAUCCUAUCGUAAUAGAAGUUCCUGACUAGCAAAAAGAGAAUCGGUAAAUGUUAGACAACGUGAGAGGACAGAUAAUCACAGACGAUCGCCAUCACGCGUCAUUAUAUCUGUCACCGCACAGAAGAAAAUGAAUAAUCAGUAUGGAAAGAAAAAUUAUACAAAUUAUACUGCUCGAUACAAAGGAAUGCACGAGACUAAAAUGGUUAGGGACACAGAACCAAGUUUAAAAUGUAUAAUUGAAAACAGGACGGCGUAUUUGACAAUAGACACAGGAGCUAAAGUGACCUUGUUGUCUAGAACAUUUAUAAGAGGUUUGCGGAAGCGCUUGAUUCCGUCAUACGAG